Molecule: ribosomal RNA, 302 nt
Filed under: uncultured bacterium
Lineage: Bacteria
Description: partial 16S ribosomal RNA
Rfam family: Bacterial small subunit ribosomal RNA
Source: RNAcentral
GCAGCCGCCGCGGGAAUACAGAGGGUGCGAGCGUUAAUCGGAUUUACUGGGCGUAAAGCGUGCGUAGGCGGCUUUUUAAGUCGGAUGUGAAAUCCCUGAGCUUAACUUAGGAAUUGCAUUCGAUACUGGGAAGCCAGAGUAUGGGAGAGGAUGGUAGAAUUCCAGGUGUAGCGGUGAAAUGCGUAGAGAUCUGGAGGAAUACCGAUGGCGAAGGCAGCCAUCUGGCCUAAUACUGACGCUGAGGUACGAAAGCAUGGGGAGCAAACAGGAUUAGAUACCCGUGUAGUCCCUGUCUCUUAUAC